UUAACUAAAAUUUUUAUGAAGUCGGAUCGUUUGCCUGCGUUUGCCACUAGGGGCGCUGUUCUAACUGUAUACAAAUUUGAGUUA
This 84-nucleotide microRNA precursor is filed under the name Bombyx mori (domestic silkworm). RNAcentral's name for it is "mir-2807 microRNA precursor family". It matches the Rfam family "mir-2807 microRNA precursor family". The record is from Rfam by way of RNAcentral. Lineage: Eukaryota; Metazoa; Arthropoda; Insecta; Lepidoptera; Bombycidae.